GACGAACGCUGGCGGCGUGCUUAACACAUGCAAGUCGAACGGAAAGGCCCUGCUUUUGUGGGGUGCUCGAGUGGCGAACGGGUGAGUAACACGUGAGUAACCUGCCCUUGACUUUGGGAUAACUUCAGGAAACUGGGGCUAAUACCGGAUAGUAGCUCCUGCUGCAUGGUGGGGGUGGGAAAGUUUCGGCGGUUGGGGAUGGACUCGCGGCUUAUCAGCUUGUUGGUGGGGUAGUGGCUUACCAAGGCUUUGACGGGUAGCCGGCCUGAGAGGGUGACCGGCCACAUUGGGACUGAGAUACGGCCCAGACUCCUACGGGAGGCAGCAGUGGGGAAUAUUGCACAAUGGGCGGAAGCCUGAUGCAGCAACGCCGCGUGCGGGAUGACGGCCUUCGGGUUGUAAACCGCUUUCGCCUGUGACGAAGCGUGAGUGACGGUAAUGGGUAAAGAAGCACCGGCUAACUACGUG
Molecule: ribosomal RNA, 468 nt
Filed under: uncultured bacterium
Lineage: Bacteria
Description: partial 16S ribosomal RNA
Rfam family: Bacterial small subunit ribosomal RNA
Source: RNAcentral